UGAAAAGGCAAACUUAUCUAAAGAUAAGGACGCAAAGCUACGGGUCUAAGGCCUGCAUACGAAGAAAACUACAUAUUUAAUGGCUACGAUCGCCGGGCUGC
This 101-nucleotide non-coding RNA is filed under the name Thalassobacillus devorans. RNAcentral describes it as "Cyclic di-GMP-I riboswitch". It matches the Rfam family "c-di-GMP-I riboswitch aptamer", at positions 7 to 83 of the family's 87-position model. Rfam says of the family: GEMM was predicted in a large-scale screen for bacterial structured RNA regulatory elements. Genes associated with GEMM are involved in a diverse array of functions, including chemotaxis regulation, signal transduction, secretion and chitin. The record is from RNAcentral. Lineage: Bacteria; Bacillati; Bacillota; Bacilli; Caryophanales; Bacillaceae.